This 741-nucleotide ribosomal RNA is filed under the name uncultured bacterium. RNAcentral's name for it is "bacterial SSU rRNA". It matches the Rfam family "Bacterial small subunit ribosomal RNA", at positions 33 to 769 of the family's 1533-position model. The record is from RNAcentral.
ACGCUGGCGGCAUGCUUUACACAUGCAAGUCGAACGGCAGCACGGGGGCAACCCUGGUGGCGAGUGGCGAACGGGUGAGUAAUAUAUCGGAACGUACCCAAGAGUGGGGGAUAACGUAGCGAAAGUUACGCUAAUACCGCAUACGAUCUCAGGAUGAAAGUGGGGGACCGCAAGGCCUCACGCUCCUGGAGCGGCCGAUAUCUGAUUAGCUAGUAGGUAGGGUAAAGGCCUACCUAGGCGACGAUCAGUAGCUAGUCUGAGAGGACGACCAGCCACACUGGAACUGAGACACGGUCCAGACUCCUACGGGAGGCAGCAGUGGGGAAUUUUGGACAAUGGGGGCAACCCUGAUCCAGCAAUGCCGCGUGAGUGAAGAAGGCCUUCGGGUUGUAAAGCUCUUUUGUCAGGGAAGAAACGGGUUCGGAUAAUACCUGGGCCUAAUGACGGUACCUGAAGAAUAAGCACCGGCUAACUACGUGCCAGCAGCCGCGGUAAUACGUAGGGUGCAAGCGUUAAUCGGAAUUACUGGGCGUAAAGCGUGCGCAGGCGGUUUUAUAAGUUUGUCGUGAAAGCCCCGGGCUCAACCUGGGAAUGGCGAUGAAGACUGUAAGGCUAGAGUGUGUCAGAGGGGGGUAGAAUUCCACGUGUAGCAGUGAAAUGCGUAGAUAUGUGGAGGAACACCGAUGGCGAAGGCAGCCCCCUGGGAUAACACUGACGCUCAUGCACGAAAGCGUGGGGAGC